CGUAAUUAUUUGCAAUAUUUAUUUAUUAAUUACAAAAACAGCCACCCCCAAAAAUUUAGCAAAGUGAGAUUUUACGUUGACUGCAUAUCCCGUUUCCAUGUUGAUCUCAUGACAUGGUGCAUUGGUUCCAAGUGCAGUUUGGGGUAACAAAAAAAAGCACGUGGCUCAGAAUGGAAAGCAAAGCUGCCCAGCCCACGCUGUGUCAACCUACCCGAGCCCGCUUGGAUGUCACGUUGGCCUGAUAAGGCCGCCGUGGGAACCCACGGGCCCCAAUAGGUCAGCACCACAACUGGGGGAGAUGCUCAUCUCGUCUAGGAGCUUGGAAGCAAGGUCGGGAGUUCACCAGAGACGGAGCCUCCAAGACGCAUCCACCUGCAGGGAAAGGAGGUGCCUGUAGGAUGCAGUACGCCCAUGCCGCCGCCACUGGAGCCUCAACAUCCGCUGCAUCCUUGACAAGCACGCGGAGCACACUCGCUUCACUCCAAUCCAGCUGAAGUCUGCCGACCUUACUCUAAGAAGUCAGCCUUCAACUACCAAGUGCAUAUUUUGCAUGAAGCUCUAUUUCUCCUGUCUUUCAUGAAGCUGGCAUACAGACCCCCCCUCCCUCCCCGUCUACCCCUCUUGUCCCCCAUCCCUUCUCUCUUUGCUGCCAUCUCAUCCAAGCAUAACUCUCCUCUGGGGAUGCCCCAGACAUCUGUGCUUGUAAAGCU
Long non-coding RNA from Lethenteron reissneri (Far Eastern brook lamprey), 710 nucleotides. RefSeq lists it as uncharacterized. NCBI's taxonomy places the organism in Eukaryota, Metazoa, Chordata, Hyperoartia, Petromyzontiformes, Petromyzontidae. The record is from RefSeq and is a predicted model, not a curated record.